AUAACGCCAUGCCAGGGCCCUCCCACGGCAGCCCAGCAGCCCUCCUCUCCACUGUAGACAGAUGUGGGGGGAAAGGGUGAGGGGGUGGGAGGACUGGCGUCCUGGGAGGACUGCCCCGCCCUGCAGGCUUUGCUGUCUCCAGGCCCAGAUGUCAGCUGCCCACUUCCCCCCUAGCCAAGGCUGCUCCUGAUCCGCUCAUGCAGUGGCAGCCUACCUCAUAGGCUUUGGGUAGUGGGGGUGUCCUCCCCCUCUGGUAGGCCUGUCUGGUGGCCCCUCACUCCACAGCCUCCUUGACAUUCCCAGGCCUUGUCCUAGGCCACCACUACCUGCCCCAGAGUGAGUCUGCCACCCCUCCCCUACAGACCCACCUGCCCACUGCCAAUCCUCAAACUCCAUCUUCCCUGGUGGAACAUGGCCCUCCAGGCCUGCAGCUGCGGGUCCCCAUAUCUUCCUGGGCCUCCACCACUAUUUCUGUCUGUAUGUACCCUCACUGUGUCACCGCCCCUAUGGAAUGCCCACUGUCUCCUUGGUAGAGCCUCGUGGGCAGGGAGGCAGAGGCUCACUCCCCCCAGCAGUUCUGCUUGCACCCCUCUUGUGGCACUUACAAGCCAUGGCUCUGGUUAGAGUGUUUUUUGUGUACUUCUCGCACCGUUCCCUUCUGCAUACCUUCAUGUAGUGUGUUAACGACCAGACAUGUUCCCUCCUCUGCUUCCCAGGCUCUUGCAAGCUGGGGCCUGUGCUGCCCCCUCCAUAUCCUUCCCAUCACUGUACCCCACACGUUGCACAUAGUAGGUGCUCACUAAAGAUUCUCAAGAGGAUGAGCAACAAUGUCUUGGUGUCCACUGCUAGGGGACGCAGCAGAGAUGCACUUAGGAACAUGCUUCAAGAUGGUGGAGUGAAUAGACUUCCAGAAGGAUUACAAACAGACAAGGAGCAACAAAUGCAAGAGUAGGCACGGCCAAGCCACCACAUGGAGGAAGCCAAGAACCCAUCCUUCCCGCCUCCCAGCAACUCCCAGGCAAACUCGCCCUGCUCAUGUCUUUUGUUUUUCUUAAUUAAAGUAGCAAGAGCCAGGAUUCCGUCUCUGAGGGUGCAGCCUUGUGUCUGGAUGUCUUUAUUUCGGCUGUGCUCUUGGUGUGCCUGCCCGUGUGGCAGCUGGACACUGGGCCUCCUGGAGCACAGUGGGGAGGGAGCACAUUGCACCUCUGCCCACUGCCCUGUCACCCCCACUUCCUACAAACCCUUGUCCUUCCUGGAGGUUAUAAGCCCUGCUCCUUCCUCUCUGCGGACACAAAGCAGCUAUUCUGCACUGUGCCCCGGCUUUCUGGACCCCCUGCGAUGCCUGCACACCCAGCCCCUCACCCUGCAUUUAAAGAGCCCGGGUGCAUUCAUGCACUGGGCGUCUUAGGAGACCCCUCAUUCGUUCAGAAGUGUUGGGCCCUGUCCAGGCUGGACAAAGCCAUGGUCCCUGCCCCCCUGCAGUUUCUACUCUAAACCGCAGCUGGGCGGGGGCAGGACCAUCUGGGUAGCCCUGGGAGGGCCACCUGCCCUCUCUAGGCUUCAGUUUCCUCACAUUGAAGCGAUUGGUUGGGAUUGCAAACUGUGCACUGAGGAGCCCUGGGGAGUCCACGCAGGCAGGGUGGAGGCUGGGCAGGAUGAGCUUUGAGCCACUCCUGGCUACUUCUCCCUGGCUACUUCUCCCUGGCUACAGCUCCCAAGCCAUGCUGCCCAGAAACCAGGCCCAGGGUGGCCAAACACUGCCUGGUCAGUGACCAUCUCCUGUUUGCAGUGCACUCUGUAUUUGUGAAUAAUGUUGGCUGUUCAAGAACCCUGUGAGGCAGUUAUCAUUCAUUGGUUUUUUUUCUUUAACCAGAGAAGAAGUCCAAUCUCAGCUGGGUUCAAGCUGAACUGCGGCUUAAACCCAAGUCUCUGUUUCCGAGCCCUGCACCCCCCUGGAAUACUGUGUCCAGCCCCCAGGGCACCCUUGGAUGUGCUUUGUUCUGGCACAAGGUUGGUUCUGCUCUUUCAUGCAGGGGCUCCUCCUGCUGUCUGUUCUGAUGGUGGGCUAUCUCCUCCCUCCUGUCCCUCCCGCCCAGGACCAGGCCAGGCUGGCAGUGCUGUUGGCAGUGGCACUGGGGCUGUAAAGGGGCCCUGGGCCCAUCUAGAGUGUGAAGGGCAGGUGUUCGAGGAGGACAAGUGUGCGGAUGGAGCUGCCACCUCCCUUGCUGGGAGGGAGAGAGGUAGAAGAGCUUUUAUGGCCUGUGAGGCCCGUCUCCCAGUCCCUCUCAAUAACAAUCCAGGCCAGAUCACUUCCUCCUCUAAAGUUCUGGAGUUUGGAGGUCAGAAGGGGGAGAGGCUAGAAACGUGGACGAAAGAGGGACUGAACUAGAUGACAGUGACAGUCCCGUACUGGGAGGGUGGGCUGGUGCAUGGUGGAGUGGGAGGAGAACUGUUCUCUUUGGACAGUGGCCUGUGGCUCCAUGCACAUGCUGCUCCAGGCCUGGCUCUGCCAUGUGAGGGGUUUUGAGGACUGGACCUGCUGUUGAUCUUGAGAAAGAACCUGGCCCAGGACAGGUGGGAGGAGGACCCCACUGGCUCCCCCGAGGGGUCCCUGCUGAGACACAAGGCUGCAGCUAGCUCUCUCAUCCUUCCUCUCUCCCUGGCCCUCAGUGGUCUCCUAGGCACCCUUAGGUGAGAGCACCAGGACAAUGCACCGGCCACUGACACUGCCUGGGGCCUCUGGCCUCGGUCUCUCCCCAAGGUGUGGGGACUCAUGAGAGUGGUGGGGCUUAGCAGGCAGAGCGCUGUGCUUGCAGUCACCCGAGAUCCCACCAUGGGCCCAGCCACCUUGGACAAGUCCCUUCUCCAGCUAAGUCCUAUGCUCCUCACCUGUAAAACGGGGAUGGCCACAGCCCCGCUGGUGGCGGAGAGGAUUCAGAGACCCUGGUGUGCACGUAGAUUUCAAAUUGCCCACAUUUCACAGGUGGCUGCUUUGUCCUGGUUAUUACUUUCCUACCUGUGGGGAAGGCCUGCCUAUUUCUUUCUGCUCUAGGAGGCCCCCUUUCAGGUCUGCACUUCUGGAGCUUCUAUUACAUCAGCACCGUGCCAAGUGACAGGACGCUUGAGCUGAAUAACGCACAGGAGAUGUUCACAGUUGUUUUUCCUUCACAAACACCUGUUGAUCACUGCUGUGGUCUGAAUUACCCCCCAAACCCAUGUUGAAAUUUAAUUGCCAUUGUGACAGUAUGAAGGGGUGGGACAUGUAAGAGGUGAUUUGGUCAUGAGGGCUUUGCCAUCGUGAAUGGAUUGAUGUUGUAUCCUGGGAAUGUUACUGUGACAGUGGGGCCGUGGUAAAAAGAUGAGUUCGGCCCUCCUUUCCCCUCUGUCUCAUGCAUUUCCUUGCCCUUCUAUUUCUCUGCCACCGGAUGACGCAGCAAGAAGGCCCUCAACAGACGCCGCCAGCGCCAUGCGCUUGGACUUCUCAGCCCCCACACUGUAAGCACAAUAAACCUCUAUUGUUCAUAAAUUACCCAGUCUUGGAUAUUCUGUUAUAGCAGCAAAAAUGGACUCGGAUAAUCACCAACAUGAUGCCAGGUAUCUGUUGGCUGGACAAGCUGGACAACAUUGGUCUAGAAGGCCCCAAAUAACAGAAACACAGGAUGCCCAAGACAGACCCACGAGUCAUCAUCUACCAGCCCAGGAUUGGUUUGUAACAGAGCUGCACAACUGUGGGACCCAGCUGUGUUUGGGACUUCGCGGCAGGCAGGCAGAGAUGGUGAGUCCAUGAGCAGGUGAGAAUAUGGGGUUCUGACUCAUGAAGACACGUGCCCAUCUAACUUAGCUGUGGAACCAUGGCAAACCAGUUCAGUUCUUUUGGCUUCUGUUUCCCCAACCACAUUAUUUCCAGGGUUCCCUCUGGCUCAAACGUUUCUGGAUGCUUCUUGGCAUCUCACCAGUGCAGGUGGUAGAAGAGACCCCAAGGGAAAGCAAACACUAGAUCACAUGGUGACAGGGUCAGUUUCAUGAGUUACCUGGGGCGAUAGCACCUACAGUAUUCAAACACCAAUCUUGGUGUUGCCGAGAUGGGAUUUUGUGGAUGUGGGUAACAUCUCCAAUUAGUCGCCUCUAAGUAAAGGAGAAGAUGGGGGUGGGCCUCAUCCAAUCAGUUGAAAGGCCUUAAAAGCAAAACCGAUGUUUCCUUGAAGAAGAAAUUCUGUCUAAAGAACUGCAGCAUCAACUGCUGCCUGAGUUUCUAGCUUGCUGGCCUUCCCUGUGGAUCUCAGAUGUGCCAGUUCCCCUACAAUCACGGGAGCCAAUUCCUUGAAAUAAACCUUUAUGUGUGUGUGUGUGUGUGUGUAUAUAUAUAUAUAUAUAUAUAUCUUCUAUUUCUGGAGAACCUGGGCUGAUACACCUGGGCUCAAGAAUAUUUCCAAAGAAAUGCAUUUGUCGCUUGCACGAUCUUGCAGCAAAUACUACUUAGGAACAAAUCAGGCAGUCGACUUCCACAAAUGGAGAAGGAUCGUUUGUAGUUAGGUGUAUCCGUUGGUCUUCAAACCACAUACGGAAGCCCUCAAAAUACAUCCUCCUCUUCUUCACUGAACCAACCGCCUGGCCCCAGUUCUUCCAAUCAGACUGCAGAGUUCUCAGCCCGUCCCACGCUCCGGAUUCUAGAGAUGAGCAGGAUUCCACGAUCCCAGACCUGGAGUGGACGAGGUUCGUUGGAAUCUACAGUUUUUGAAAAAUUUGACUGGUGUCUAUUUUACUGUUAUGAGCAGAUGAUGUUCUUUGUUUAUGAGAGAAAUUAGGCCAAAUCCAACUUUUCCACAGAUGGAGACGCCUGAAUUAUUUAUCAGAGGCUCAUGAAUUUGGUUCUGGCAAAUGGCAGGGCCGAGGGCGGCUGAUUUGUGCUUCGCUAUUGGAACAGCUUGAUCCCAGCGGGUCCUGGGCCUUUCUGACGUGGAGCUGGGCCUGGCAGGGGCCCCAGAGGCUGGCUCUGGGUACAGGGUAGGUGGUGGGGACCCUUCCUUGGCUGCUUCUGCUGGGCUCCCUUGGUUCCCAGAGAGCGGUGAGGCGGGGCCCUGAGCAGGGCCUUGACUGGCAGCUGGGAUGCCCUUCACCAGGGUCCUGCUGGACUUCGGAGGGCUGUAGGUGGGUCUUCCUCACUCAGAAAAAGUGAUGGAAAUGGAGAUGUUCACUGCAACUUCCCAUCAGCUAUUCUUUCCUUUAAAGUGAAAUCCAAGGCCAGUUGGUAAAACCUUCCAUGCAGCCGGCUGUGUCUGGCAGCUCAGCAAAUACCUACUGUGUGAUGGGCCCAUGCUGGGUCCCUGAUGAGCACAGAAGAGACAGUGGGCUCUGCAUUUGGAGGGAAGGACCCAGAAAAGUGCCUUUCAGAGAGUGAUCCAGGCCGUCUCAUAUGCUGACACUAACUUAUGUUCACUGAGUACCGGUCCAGGGCCGUCUGCGCAUUAAUUCCUUUGGUCCUCAGAAACACCCUAUGGACCAGUUCUACAGAAGAUGCAACCAAGAGAUAGGAACAUUCAGGAGCUUGUCUAAGACUUGCCAGCCAGGGAGCCACAGAGCAUAGCUUAGCUGGUGUUCCCACCCUGACGUGACAUGGAUCUGAGAGUCCCCUGGCACCAGCCAUGAGCCAGAAAUCCUUCAGCCUUUAAGGUGCUUGCAGUUGGAUGGGGAGAUAGAAAAGGAAGCAAUCAGCAUUCUUCCCACCAGCCACACUCACGCGGGGCUGGCCUGUCGCCUCCCUGGGGGCUGCAGUGGUGUCACUCAGCCUGAUCAAGAAAUGGGAAUAUUGCACUUCAAUCCCUGAGUGGGACUGACCUGGGGCCUGCAGUGAUCCAUUUGGAGGAGGUCUGGACCAGACCCCAGGCCUUCCUGCCUGUUUAGGUGUGUCAUUUUCUGGCCAUAGCCCAUUGUCUCCUUGGGGCUGUCUGACCUUAAAACCCAACUUUGAGUAUGCCACCAGUUUGUUGAUGGCCUGGGACAAAUCACCACACCUCUCUGGGCCUCAAACUUCCCUAUCUGAUCCCUGGGCAUUUGCAGUGCUUGUCUCUGGGGUUCCUUCCUUUUUUAAUUCUGGGGCCACCUGGAGUGGACCUGCCCCUCCUUGUGCUGAGGCUGUGGAACAAAUGAUCCAGUGGGAAUGAGCAAGGAGGCUGCCGAGGUGAGUCUGUAAGUGUUUGGUUUGAACCAUUUUAAUUUGCAUUCAAGUUUAAUUAUCAUCCGUCUUCAAGGUUGCCCACGUGGGAGAAGAGCAGUUGGGCCCCAAGGAUGCUCCCUCCUGCUUCCAAUGCUCCUUCCACUGCACCUGCCUGGAAUGCACGCCUGGCUGCCACCUCCACGGAUCCACCCCAUCCGGGGUUCCAGGGUCAGGGGCCCCUUCUCUGCCCCCUUCAGUCCUGAGUUCCCCAGAAACUCCACCCUUCUCUCCCGGUGUUCUGAGUGGGAGCCCCUUCUCAGUCCUUCCAGCUUGCAGGUGUCAGACGGGGAGUGAGUGUGGGGUGGGGUAGGGUGCGGGUAGAGGCUCUUUGUCAUUCUUUAUUCCGGCAAAGAGCAAGGGUCAGCACAUGCAAAAGGUGAGGAAGAAAGACAAUAAGUAGGCAGAAGUGUAAAUAAAAGUUCAAGCCAAAAGGAACUUCUGAGAUUCACAAUGGUCUUCCUCCCCUCCGUAACCACAGAGCUCCCCGUCAUCCCCUCACCAGUUUCUCUGCCCUUGGGACAGGCCAGAACUGCUCCUUCUCUUCUUGGCAGCCCUGUGCACUUCUACCGCCUACCAAGUUCAAGGUCUCUUUCAGGCCUAGCUCAAGUGCCCCCUCUCCCAAGGGGCCUUCCUGGCUCCUUCUCCCCCAGCCUCUCUCUGCCCUCCCCACCCUCCACCCAUGGUCCGCACCCUAGGGCCCCUGCGGCUCUGUGUGGUUGGCAUCUUUUCCCCCACUGGGAGGCUGGCCCGUUCCCGGGAGGAGGGCUGGGAGGAGCAAGAGGUGCUCAGGGAGGAAAGUGAAAGAUGCCUGGGCUGAGACAGCCAGAGUGAGUGGAGAGACAGGGAGAGGAGGGGAGAGAGGCAGGAAGAAAAGGAAGGAGAGGGGGAGGGGGAGGAUGAGCAGCCCGCAGCGCUUAUUGGACUAAACACAGUCCCGGGACAGCACAUAAUUCGGGCCUGAGUCAGCAGGUUUCACCAUAAUUUCUUAAGCAUCUGUCAGGCCACUGCCUCCCCGCCCCCCGCCCCGAGAGGAGCAGCCGCUUCAAAGGGAGCCAGAGCGAAAGCCUCAUUUAGCAAAUGAGGGAAAUGUUUAAAAAUAUCGCAAGGAGUCACCCUCCGUGAAGGCAAGGCCACCCCUCCC
Microcebus murinus (gray mouse lemur) is the source of this 7355-nucleotide non-coding RNA. NCBI's taxonomy places the organism in Eukaryota, Metazoa, Chordata, Mammalia, Primates, Cheirogaleidae. The record is from RefSeq and is a predicted model, not a curated record.